CCUUGGAUAGUUUAAAAAAACGUAGUGUUGAAACCCCUGAAUUGGGGUUCCCCCCCCGGGGG
Molecule: transfer RNA, 62 nt
Filed under: Argopecten irradians (bay scallop)
Lineage: Eukaryota; Metazoa; Mollusca; Bivalvia; Pectinida; Pectinidae
Description: tRNA-Phe
Source: RNAcentral